This 286-nucleotide ribosomal RNA is filed under the name uncultured Rhodoferax sp. RNAcentral describes it as "partial 16S ribosomal RNA". It matches the Rfam family "Bacterial small subunit ribosomal RNA", at positions 1096 to 1382 of the family's 1533-position model. Lineage: Bacteria; Pseudomonadati; Pseudomonadota; Betaproteobacteria; Burkholderiales; Comamonadaceae. The record is from RNAcentral.
GCGCAACCCUUGUCAUUAGUUGCUACAUUCAGUUGGGCACUCUAAUGAGACUGCCGGUGACAAGCCGGAGGAAGGUGGGGAUGACGUCAAGUCCUCAUGGCCCUUAUAGGUGGGGCUACACACGUCAUACAAUGGCUGGUACAAAGGGUUGGCCAACCCGCGAGGGGGAAGCCAAUCCCAUAAAGCCAGUCGUAGUCCGGAUCGUAGUCUGCAACUCGACUACGUGAAGUCGGAAUCGCUAGUAAUCGUGGAUCAGAAUGUCACGGUGAAUACGUUCCCGGGUCUU